Molecule: ribosomal RNA, 393 nt
Filed under: uncultured bacterium
Lineage: Bacteria
Description: partial 16S ribosomal RNA
Rfam family: Bacterial small subunit ribosomal RNA
Source: RNAcentral
AUACGGAAGGUCCGGGCGUUAUCCGGAUUUAUUGGGUUUAAAGGGAGCGCAGGCGGAGAUGCAAGCGUGACGUCAAAUUUCGGGGCUCAACCCCGUCUCGCGUCGCGAACUGCGUCCCUUGGUUGCGGGAAGGGGAGGCGGAACUCGGGGUGAAGCGGUGAAAUGCAUAGAUAUCACGAAGAACUCCGAUCGCGAAGGCAGCCUUCCGGCCCGUCAACGACGCUCAUGCUCGAAGGUGCGGGUAUCAAACAGGAUUAGAUACCCUGGUAGUCCGCACAGUAAACGAUGGACACCCGCGGUUUGGCCUGUAUGGCUGAGCCGCCAAGCGAAAGCGUUAAGUGUCCCACCUGGGGAGUACGCCGGCAACGGUGAAACUCAAAUGAAUUGACGGGG